GUGCCAGCAGCCGCGGUAAUACGUAGGKGGCAGCGUUGUCCGGAAUUAUUGGGCGUAAAGCGCGCGCAGGCGGUUUCUUAAGUCUGAUGUGAAAGCCCCCGGCUCAACCGGGGAGGGUCAUUGGAAACUGGGGAACUUGAGUGCAGAAGAGGAGAGUGGAAUUCCACGUGUAGCGGUGAAAUGCGUAGAGAUGUGGAGGAACACCAGUGGCGAAGGCGACUCUCUGGUCUGUAACUGACGCUGAGGCGCGAAAGCGUGGGGAGCGAACAGGAUUAGAUACCCUGGUAGUCCACGCCGUAAACGAUGAGUGCUAAGUGUUAGAGGGUUUCCGCCCUUUAGUGCUGCAGCAAACGCAUUAAGCACUCCGCCUGGGGAGUACGGCGAAGMMUGAAACUCAAAGGAAUUGACGG
This 410-nucleotide ribosomal RNA is filed under the name Bacillus licheniformis. RNAcentral describes it as "bacterial SSU rRNA". It matches the Rfam family "Bacterial small subunit ribosomal RNA", at positions 505 to 916 of the family's 1533-position model. The record is from RNAcentral. Lineage: Bacteria; Bacillati; Bacillota; Bacilli; Caryophanales; Bacillaceae.